CAAGUUUCCGUAGGUGAACCUGCGGAAGGAUCAUUG
RNAcentral lists this ribosomal RNA (36 nucleotides) under Goodenia macroplectra. RNAcentral describes it as "partial 18S small subunit ribosomal RNA". The record is from RNAcentral. Lineage: Eukaryota; Viridiplantae; Streptophyta; Magnoliopsida; Asterales; Goodeniaceae. RNAcentral also lists the same sequence under 1 other name.